Molecule: ribosomal RNA, 110 nt
Filed under: Chinchilla lanigera (long-tailed chinchilla)
Lineage: Eukaryota; Metazoa; Chordata; Mammalia; Rodentia; Chinchillidae
Source: RNAcentral
GUCUACGGCCAUACCACCCUGAAUGCAUCUGAUUUCUUCUGAUCUCGGAAGCUAAGCAGGGUCGGGCCUGGUUAGUACUUGGAUGCGAGUCAAAGUAGGUAUUGAUGAUC